Carassius gibelio (silver crucian carp) is the source of this 1138-nucleotide long non-coding RNA. RefSeq lists it as uncharacterized. Lineage: Eukaryota; Metazoa; Chordata; Actinopteri; Cypriniformes; Cyprinidae. The transcript is spliced from 2 exons. The record is from RefSeq and is a predicted model, not a curated record.
GUCAGGCUAAAAAUAGCUUUUUCCAAAAAUGUCCUACUGCAUGUUUCAGCACUGGUUAGGUCUCACCACCGUUUAAAAAAAAGAAAGUGCUAAAAAGUGGGCGUGGUGUGUGCAGCGGAGGCGGGGAAGAGACAGAGAUAUGGAGGGUGCGGUUUGCACGCCAACCCAUGGUAAGAGUUUUAUAGAUGCGAAACUCCGCAGCAGUGACCGUCUCUCCCUGAGGAAGCGGAGUAAGAUCGAAGCGGAACUCCUUCCAGUACGGCCGAGGCUGCAGCAGAUCCUUCUCCUGCUCCACUGCAGUCAGACACAGAGGCCAGAGAGAGAAUUAAAAAACAACAACUACCACAGAGUAAAUGUGUGAAGACACUUGAGAUGAAGAAGACAUGUUGGAAGACUGAUUGGCAGGAGAAGAAGGGGAGACAAAAAAUGGAACAUUUGUUCUGGUGGAGCUCGGCAGAUUGGACUGACACCCACGGCUGGGGCUCUGCAGUGGGGUAAUUAGAGGCGUUGUGGAGCUGCUGCAGCUAAGCGCACCACCACUAAUUACAGUCCAGCACUGUAUUUUUAGAGGAGUGCCCAACGGUAUUUUCAUCUCAUCUUUUUUCUGCCUUUCAUUGGGGCUUGUAAUUCCCCACAGCUGUGUGCCCACUACAACAUCACAUGGCCUGCGUGAUCUGGACUGGCCUUUGUAGAUCCACAAUAAUCAAGAUUUACUUUUAGAAAAGCAUAGAGAAAAGGAAAACACUAUAUUAAAGACAACUAGCAGGAGAAACAACUUGACUUUUACGAUUUUUGAAGAACAUCAUGAACUCAAGGCCAUGAUGCUAGAGUGUUGCGAGUGAUUUUGCAAUAUGUCUGUAAUGUGAAAAGUCUAUUCUUGAACAUAAAGGUUCUUUACUGGCAUCUAUAGUUGCAUGAGGAACAUUUAUAAUCCAUGGAAACUUUAGAACUUUAGGUUAUUUAGAAAAAAUAAAAAAAAAGUUAUCACUGAAAAGUUCUUUAAGGAGCCAAACAUGGUUCAUAUAUGUAACUGUAUAAUUCCCCUUUUGAACCUUUAUUUUUGAGAGAAAACAUACAUUUAAUGUACUGGAAAAAGGUUUUUUUUCUUUAAAGCAAAUAAAAAUGGUUAUUUUAAGAA